This 387-nucleotide long non-coding RNA is filed under the name Aotus nancymaae (Ma's night monkey). RNAcentral describes it as "lncRNA (ENSANAG00000039312.1)". The record is from RNAcentral. Lineage: Eukaryota; Metazoa; Chordata; Mammalia; Primates; Aotidae.
UAAACAAUUAUAAAUCAUUCUACUAUAAAGACACAUGUACAUGUAUGUUUAUUGCAGCAUUAUUCGCAAUAGCAAAGAGUUGGAGCUACUUUCUACUUCUAGAGGUUUUUGUCAUCUGGAGACACUGGAAAUGGAAAGCAAGAUUAUCUGUGGAACUCACAGAUGCAGAGAUGAAGUGUGGAGUGUGUAGUAGACAGAAUGAUGGUCCCCCACAGAUAUCCAUGUCCUCAUUCCAGAAACCUGUGAAUAUACCUAACGUGGCAACACACCACGUGGAUAGUAAUAGGUUAAGAAUGUUGCUUUGGGAAGAAUAUUCAGGGUUAUCCAGGUGAGUCCACUGUAACCACAAAUAUCCUCCUAAGAAAGAGCCAGAAAGAUUAGAGCGGG